Long non-coding RNA from Mauremys mutica (yellowpond turtle), 514 nucleotides. RefSeq lists it as uncharacterized. The transcript has 3 exons. The record is from RefSeq and is a predicted model, not a curated record. Lineage: Eukaryota; Metazoa; Chordata; Testudines; Geoemydidae.
CAACAGUUAACUCUGCUUGAAAUAAGUCUAAAUGAAAUGGUAGCUGUAGUGCCUGUGCCCGGUGGGAGUACUUAUAUGGGUGGACAUGAAGUAAGUUACAGGCGUGCGAGGCUACAGGGGAGAAAGUUUCUAAGGAUCUGAAGGUUGCAAAUGCAGUACAGACUUGAUUGAAUUUGGCUUGAAUAUUGCCACAGAAGAAUGCACUGAUGAACAACAUUAAGCAACAUGCCAAGAAAGGUAUACGUACAAUUAUCUUCCUGUACAGCAUAUGUAAUGGAUGUGGCAGCUCAUAUGUACUCUCAGUUGACCAAAGCAAAGCCCUUUUCUAAACCUUUAAUGUCCAAUUGUGCAUGUCUCCUCAAAUGUUUUGCCCAGCUCUAUUAAAACAAGAUCAAAGUUAUCAAAUUGGAAGCAGCUUGAGUAGUGAAGCAUUUUGGCCUCUACUCUACAUUAUCUGUAUUGAUGUGAUUAUGAGAUCCCAUUAACUAACUACAGAUGUUCUAUAGUUCAUACA